GAGGAACUACGGUGCUGAAGUCACAAAUGCCCUGCUUCCAGGAAAAGCCUCUAAGCAUCAGGUAACAUCAAAUCGUACCCCAAACCGACCCAGGUGGUCAGGUAGAGAAUACCAAGGCGCUUGAGAGAACUCGGGUGAAGGAACUAGGCACAAUGGUGCCGUAACUUCGGGAGAAGGCACGCUGGUGUGUAGGUGAAGCCACUGCGGGUGGAGCUGAGACCAGUCGAAGAUACCAGCUGGCUGCAACUUUAUAUUAAAAACACAGCACUGUGCAAACACGAAAGAGUACGUAUACGGUG
RNAcentral lists this ribosomal RNA (299 nucleotides) under Klebsiella pneumoniae. Its description in RNAcentral is "partial 23S ribosomal RNA". It matches the Rfam family "Bacterial large subunit ribosomal RNA", at positions 1570 to 1852 of the family's 2925-position model. Lineage: Bacteria; Pseudomonadati; Pseudomonadota; Gammaproteobacteria; Enterobacterales; Enterobacteriaceae. The record is from RNAcentral.